This 1371-nucleotide ribosomal RNA is filed under the name uncultured bacterium. RNAcentral describes it as "bacterial SSU rRNA". It matches the Rfam family "Bacterial small subunit ribosomal RNA", at positions 28 to 1381 of the family's 1533-position model. The record is from RNAcentral.
GAUGAACGCUGGCGGCGUGCCUAAUACAUGCAAGUCGAGCGAACGGACGAGAAGCUUGCUUCUCUGAUGUUAGCGGCGGACGGGUGAGUAACACGUGGAUAACCUACCUAUAAGACUGGGAUAACUUCGGGAAACCGGAGCUAAUACCGGAUAAUAUUUUGAACCGCAUGGUUCAAAAGUGAAAGACGGUCUUGCUGUCACUUAUAGAUGGAUCCGCGCUGCAUUAGCUAGUUGGUAAGGUAACGGCUUACCAAGGCAACGAUGCAUAGCCGACCUGAGAGGGUGAUCGGCCACACUGGAACUGAGACACGGUCCAGACUCCUACGGGAGGCAGCAGUAGGGAAUCUUCCGCAAUGGGCGAAAGCCUGACGGAGCAACGCCGCGUGAGUGAUGAAGGUCUUCGGAUCGUAAAACUCUGUUAUUAGGGAAGAACAUAUGUGUAAGUAACUGUGCACAUCUUGACGGUACCUAAUCAGAAAGCCACGGCUAACUACGUGCCAGCAGCCGCGGUAAUACGUAGGUGGCAAGCGUUAUCCGGAAUUAUUGGGCGUNAAGCGCGCGUAGGCGGUUUUUUAGUCUGAUGUGAAAGCCCGCGGCUCAACCGUGGAGGGUCAUUGGAAACUGGAAAACUUGAGUGCAGAAGAGGAAAGUGGAAUUCCAUGUGUAGCGGUGAAAUGCGCAGAGAUAUGGAGGAACACCAGUGGCGAAGGCGACUUUCUGGUCUGUAACUGACGCUGAUGUGCGAAAGCGUGGGGAUCAAACAGGAUUAGAUACCCUGGUAGUCCACGCCGUAAACGAUGAGUGCUAAGUGUUAGGGGGUUUCCGCCCCUUAGUGCUGCAGCUAACGCAUUAAGCACUCCGCCUGGGGAGUACGACCGCAAGGUUGAAACUCAAAGGAAUUGACGGGGACCCGCACAAGCGGUGGAGCAUGUGGUUUAAUUCGAAGCAACGCGAAGAACCUUACCAAAUCUUGACAUCCUUUGACAACUCUAGAGAUAGAGCUUUCCCCUUCGGGGGACAAAGUGACAGGUGGUGCAUGGUUGUCGUCAGCUCGUGUCGUGAGAUGUUGGGUUAAGUCCCGCAACGAGCGCAACCCUUAAGCUUAGUUGCCAUCAUUAAGUUGGGCACUCUAAGUUGACUGCCGGUGACAAACCGGAGGAAGGUGGGGAUGACGUCAAAUCAUCAUGCCCCUUAUGAUUUGGGCUACACACGUGCUACAAUGGACAAUACAAAGGGCAGCGAAACCGUGAGGUCAAGCAAAUCCCAUAAAGUUGUUCUCAGUUCGGAUUGUAGUCUGCAACUCGACUACAUGAAGCUGGAAUCGCUAGUAAUCGUAGAUCAGCAUGCUACGGUGAAUACGUUCCCGGGUCU